This 77-nucleotide transfer RNA is filed under the name Acidobacteriota bacterium. RNAcentral describes it as "tRNA-Arg". It matches the Rfam family "tRNA". From Rfam's summary of the family: Transfer RNA (tRNA) molecules are approximately 80 nucleotides in length. Their secondary structure includes four short double-helical elements and three loops (D, anti-codon, and T loops). Further hydrogen bonds mediate the characteristic L-shaped molecular structure. tRNAs have two regions of fundamental functional importance: the anti-codon, which is responsible for specific mRNA codon recognition, and the 3' end, to which the tRNAs corresponding amino acid is attached (by aminoacyl-tRNA synthetases). tRNAs cope with the degeneracy of the genetic code in two manners: having more than one tRNA (with a specific anti-codon) for a particular amino acid; and 'wobble' base-pairing, i.e. permitting non-standard base-pairing at the 3rd anti-codon position. RNAcentral also lists the same sequence under 2 other names. The record is from RNAcentral. Lineage: Bacteria; Pseudomonadati; Acidobacteriota.
GGGCGCGUAGCUCAGGUGGAUAGAGCAUUAGCCUUCUAAGCUAAGGGUCGCUGGUUCGAGUCCAGCCGCGCCUACCA